UACGAAGGGUGCAAACGUUGCUCGGAAUUCUUGGGCGUAAAGCGCUCGUAGGUGGAUCGAAAAGUCUGUGAGGAAAUGCCUGGGCUCAACUCAGGAACCCGUGCGGAUACUUUCGAUCUUGAGGCAAUCAGAGGAUGAUGGAAUUCCCGGUGUAGCGGUGAAAUGCGCAGAUAUCAGGAGGAACACCGGUGGCGAAGGCGGGUCUCUGGGCAGUAACUGACGCUGAGGAGCGAAAGCGUGGGGAGCGAACAGG
This 253-nucleotide ribosomal RNA is filed under the name uncultured bacterium. RNAcentral describes it as "partial 16S ribosomal RNA". It matches the Rfam family "Bacterial small subunit ribosomal RNA", at positions 524 to 776 of the family's 1533-position model. The record is from RNAcentral.